UACGUAGGUGGCAAGCGUUGUCCGGAUUUACUGGGCGUAAAGAGCGCGCAGGCGGUCGUUCAAGUCGAGUGUGAAAGCCCCCGGCUCAACUGGGAGAGGUCGCUCAAGACUGUCGGACUGGAGGGCAGGCGAGGGAGGUGGAAUUCCCGGUGUAGUGGUGAAAUGCGUAGAUAUCGGGAGGAACACCAGUGGCGAAAGCGAUCUACUGGGCUGUCACUGACACUGAGGAACGAAAGCGUGGGUAGCGAACGGG
Molecule: ribosomal RNA, 253 nt
Filed under: uncultured bacterium
Lineage: Bacteria
Description: partial 16S ribosomal RNA
Rfam family: Bacterial small subunit ribosomal RNA
Source: RNAcentral